GGACUACUGGGGUAUCUAAUCCUGUUUGAUCCCCACGCUUUCGUGCCUCAGAGUCAAUAGUAGUGUAGCGAGCUGCCUUCGCAAUUGGUGUUCUAUGUCAUAUCUAAGCAUUUCACCGCUACAUGACAUAUUCCGCUCACCUCCACUGUAUUCAAGACAGAGAGUAUCAAUGGCAGUUCUGGGGUUAAGCCCCAGGAUUUCACCACUGACUUACCUGCCCUCCUACGCACCCUUUAAACCCAGUGAAUCCGGAUAACGCUUGCACCCUCCGUAUUACCGCGGCUGCUGGCAC
Molecule: ribosomal RNA, 292 nt
Filed under: uncultured Bacteroidota bacterium
Lineage: Bacteria; Pseudomonadati; Bacteroidota
Description: uncultured Bacteroidetes bacterium partial 16S ribosomal RNA
Source: RNAcentral